CACCAAAGCUGGAACAUAAAUGGGAACUGUAAAUAGUGAGGUUUACAUCAGCUGUAUGCUGCUUUAAAGCAUAGAAAAGUAAUCUGGAUACACACAAAGAUGUUCUUAAUUGGAAAAUCUGAUGAACUGGAUAAUUACAGAAAUCGAAAAGAUGUUUAUUUUUUGUUGAGAUAUGUGGUACGGUAAAAAUGAAAACAUUUACCUCUGAAAUGUAGUAAAGUAAUAAGUGCAAUAUAAAGAUGUAGUGGGGCAGAGAAGUAUGAAGCGUCAUUAAAUAAAAGCACUCAAUUACUCAACCCUGCUAGCAAUGAUCCUGUCGCACCGAUUGUGCAUCAAAUAGAAACCAAGAAUGGUCAAGUGUCGGAUUUAAACCUCGCGAUAUGAGCAACAAUAAGUCUCUGUAAUAAAGUGAAGACGGCGCAUCUUGUUUUGGUGUUUAAUAUGGACUUAUCAGUGAUAAGAGACGUGAUAAGUCGUUUUAUGGGUGAUCAAACAUCACUGCCGUCCCGCUCUUUUAAACCGCUGUUUAUAACAGCAGACGUGGACUUACAGCGUCAGUCUCUAUCACGUUGUGUCCUCGCUUUGUGAAUAUCCUGGAGGAAGGUAGAUUAUAAAAAGAAGUUGAUGCAUUUCCAUGGUGAGAUGGGAGAGUAGGAGCAGACACUUCACCUUGAUCUUCAUCUUCAGGGAGAUUUUGUCUAAUAAAACUGGAAACAAGUUGUGGGUUAAGUCUGUUACACCCUGGUCUCCAUCAUCCAUAUUUUUAAUACAAGAAGUCUUUUCAAUAGUGGCCUUGUCCAUUGAUGUACUGCCUUCGGUCUCUGAAUCAGCCAUUUUUGGUGGGUGUGCGGAGUGUGGCUCAGCCUCCGGCUCGAACGACCAUUUGUACUGGAUCUAGGGGUCGACUGGAGCCACAAACCGACUUGAAACGGGGUUUCAUGCACUUCGAUCUUUAUUCAGCCAUGCCAUUUAUUUUAGUUGUUCACGUAAUAUUUCCAUGGUCUAUACAAAAAGGAAAGAAAGGAGAUUACAAAAUUUGGGAUGACAAACAGAUCAAUUUAUAUACAAACUAAGUUACAUCAUAAUAUGGAUAAACGAAAUAAAGCUCUACUUACAUUGGCAUCAGUCCAACAGACACAUGGAAACACUCAUGUCAGGAAACAAACAGGAACUUGGCCUCAACAGGGCCUCUAGUUAUAGUGUGGGAGGUAGCUCACCACUUUGUGCCUCCUGUGGAAAGGAGAGCAAUUGCAUGCAGUUUCUAACAGUAGUAAAGUAAAAAGUGCAAUAUAAAGAUGUAGUGGAGCAGAAGUAUGAAGCGUCGUUAAAUAAAAGUACUCAAUUAUUCAACCCUGCUAGCAAUGAUCCUGUCUGACAGAUUGUUCAUCAAAUAGAAACUAAGAAUGGUCAAGUGUCUGAUUUAAACCGCGCGAUAUGAGCAGCAAUACGUCUUUGAAGUGAAGACGGCGCAUAUUGUUUUGUUAUUUAAUAUGGACUUAUCAGUGAUAAGAGACGUGAUAAGUCGUUUUAUGGGUUUGGGUGAUCGCGGUCAAACAUCACUGCCGCUACGCUCCUUUAAACCGCUGUUUAUAACAGCAGACGUGGACUUACAGCCUCAGUCUCUAUCACGUUGUGUCCUCGCUUUGUUCCUCAAGAAGAAUUCGGACACUGAAGAAGAAGAACCGCGUCUCUUUAUGUCUUUACAUGACUGAGGACGUUUAAGGGAGGAGAUGAUCUGCAGCAUCCUGGUGAUCUUCAUCCUGACCUCCUGUGUCUGUGGUCAGUUCACUUUUGGGUUUGUAAAGCAGCUGUGAAGCAUCAGCACACACUCCUCAGAAACAUCUGGAGAUGGAGUCUAGUUUGUCUGGACCCGGUGAACCCCGUCUCCGGAUAGCCCUAUUGUGCAGACGAACGCACUGUAUCCGCACACUGUAUCCGCACAAUUGUCUGUAGCACCUUAAAGCGCCACCAACAGGCGUGGGGGAUGUACUACAGCGGAGUCAAUCGGAUUCACUGGGUUCAUGUGCACGCGAUUUAAAAACAGGGACAUUUGUAGUGAAUGUGACACAGAGCUGGUAUCAGGCAGAGGAGAACCACAACAUCUCACUAGAAUGGAUGUUCCCCACCAGCACGGACCACUUCACCAACUCCCUUUAUAUCUCCUGUGAGAUGUUAACUGAUGACAAACCCUCAGUCCUGUUUCAUCUAUAUGAAGGUGUCGAGGUCCCAGAGUUUCAGGAUGAACGCUUUGAUAGCCUGACUUCCAUCAUCAGGUUAAUUUAUUUUGGCUAAUGGAACAUUUGAUGGACUUAGUUGAACCAUGUAUGAGGAACGGGGCGCAGAUUUCUAAUCAGCAACAGAUGAAACAUCAUCCACACCUUAUUCAUCUUUAAAUGUUUACACAAGAAGAGUCUGAGGUUCUGACAUCAAGGUCCGACUGCUGCUAAUUAGACCAAGUAUUGUUGUCCUCAAUAUACAUGUUGUCUAAAUGUUUAUUCUAUUCUUUGCACUUUGUUGCACUGGAGACAAACGUUUUUUUGACUGCUCUGUAUGUUUGGUACAUUGGAAUUUAUAUUAAAGCAAACUAUGAACUUUUGAAUAUAUGUUAA
Gasterosteus aculeatus aculeatus (three-spined stickleback) is the source of this 2609-nucleotide long non-coding RNA. Lineage: Eukaryota; Metazoa; Chordata; Actinopteri; Perciformes; Gasterosteidae. The record is from Ensembl.